CCUUGAGAAGCGAGGAAAGGAUCAAAGAGAAGAAUCGGGCAGCAGGACGUGUAACCCCCCGAAGGGGAACCCCCGCCUGGAGGCGGGAAAGAAAGAGAACAAGACAAGAAAGCCAGUCGAUCAAGAGGAGCGUAGGAGGCUAUGGGUAUAGCAUCCAAGCUACUCGAGUGAACAGCAGGAACCAACUCUCCUUGAUUGGCUAAGAGAAUAUGGAUAGCAGUCAGGAUAAUAAAGGACUGAGAUCAAUCACAGAACCAGACCUCGAGUCGUAAUUGAUAGCUUUGGAAGCAGUAAAAAGCCUUAACGGGGUGAAGACAUUUCCAAUCGCCGUAGCAUUCAACCUGGCUUCUAUGAAUACCAGCCCAAUAGAGAUGAAUGAAAGAAGCAAGAAAAGAAGAAGGGUAAGUAGGAUCUUUCGGCUUUGCAGUGAUGGCUUGGAUGAUUUUCUUGUCCCGAUUGAACUACUUCCGCUGCAACAAUAGCAAAAGAAAGAGCUGUUGUCGGAAAAUCUUUUUUUCCUCUCUUAAGGCCAGGCCUUAAAGGGCGGAUACUUACUUUUACGAUGGUGGUUGUUUUACGCUCUCCCAAUCCACUUCUUUUCAAUCC
This 606-nucleotide unclassified non-coding RNA is filed under the name Hevea brasiliensis (rubber tree). The record is from RNAcentral. Lineage: Eukaryota; Viridiplantae; Streptophyta; Magnoliopsida; Malpighiales; Euphorbiaceae.